AUGGCUGGGGGCGGGGGGCAGGCAAGUUUAGAUAAUGCUUCCUCUUUGCACACAGUGGUACCGCAGCCUGCGCUGCCCCGGCUGUUGGCAGCCCCGGGACAAGCUGCAGAGGGCCCUAUCCUGCCCGCUUUGAAGUUAAUGGCCAAGCUCCCUUUGAUUGCGGCAGGAACAAGCCCGGGCCUGAAGAACAGGUGCUGGAGUCGGAGUCGCAGCGCAGAGCGGGCUCAUCAGCAAUCAGCGCUGGUUUUAUGCAAAUGCUGCCAAAUGAGGAGAAUUGUCUUGCCAGCUGAUACAACCAGAACAAAGCCCCGAGCACCAGCAGAGGGUAACGUAUGCAAUUUCAGGGCUAAGAAGUCCAGGGAGAGAUUUAAUAGCAGUUGGCGUUUUACAAAGGAAAUAGCUAUUCCUGCGCGGGGAUGAUUAGAGGUAUAUAUUAAAGCGGGGGUUUUUAGGAGCGUGCUGGCUGGCGCUCCCCACUUCUGGGUGACCUUGGUCAAGUUGUUUCACCUUGCUCCUGCUCGGCUUUCUGCUGAGCUCCUUCCUCAGCGGGAUAAUUCUCCCUGCUUCACAGAUGGGAAGUGGCAGCGUUUGUUGAUAUUUGUGGGCAGUUUGACUUUCCCUAGCACGAUAUAUUAGAGGACGGGGAGGAGAAUUGAGGUCCGACGGGGAUCCUGGCCCGGCAGGGGAUGCAGGACACACAAGGGCUGCGUCCACCUGUGCCAGUUGCUGCUGCGGUGAGGAGGAUGCAGAAAAUGUCAAGGAGGAAGCAGCAGGAGCCACACACCAUUGGUGCUGGAGGAUUUGGGGCUGUUUAGUCUGGAGAGGUCAGAGACUUCAGAUACAUGAAAUGAGGCUGGAAAGGAGAGGGAGUAGAUUGUCCUGUCCGUUAUGGACCUGUAAAUAAUGGGCUCAGGUGGCAGCAGGGGAAAGCCAGGUUAGACACUGGGAAAAGCCUUGUAGCGGGGUGCUAGCACAGCCCAGGGACAGGUCUGCACCCGGGAAUGAGCCAGGAAGAGGGAAUUAGGUGGGACUAAACCAGGCUGGGACUUCAGCUUUGCAGCCACCGGGGCUGGGUCCUAGGGAUGGCUCAGGGCAGCGGAGGAGCUCCGCUGGUGUGCAAUGGAUGGAUGGAUGGAUGGAUGGAUGGAUGGAUGGAUGGAUGGAUGGAGCCAAACCCGAGCCCGGCUCCCAGCACUGCCCCUGUUUUCUGCAUGCAAACCAAAGGCAGGGCUCCCGGAAGCCGCAGCACAUGCCUGAGCACAGGGCUGGAGGCAGCUGCCCGCCCGGCCCACGGUUAGGCACAAGUGGGUAAUACCAUAUGUUUCCUUCCCCUGUAAUUUUAUGGCUGAAGGUAUUUGAUCAGCCCGGUUAUUCGCUCACCAUCUGUCCCCUGCACAAAUACAGCUGAUUCUCGUUACAGCUCUCUGAUGGCGAGUGCCCUUCCCCGGCGCGGCAGGAGCGCGCUCAGGGUAACCGCGCUCCGGCCAUUUCGGAGAACGCCGCUCGCUUGGAGAGCCGGGGCUGUCACGCAUGCACAUGAAUGGCAGCCGAUGUCUGUGCUGAUUACAGUGGGAGGAUAUUUAAAGCCCAUUCUGCAAAUCAGUGCCUUGGAUACUAAUAUAAGUAACUUUAAAAAAAACACACAGAGAGAAAGGAAAGCGAGGAGAUAAAAACCCCGUCAUUUACAUUUCUAAGGAAUAUGAAAUUGUGCUUUUGAAAAAAAGCAAUUUGUAAACUUUAGAUAGCAGCAAAUUCCUUGUUUUUUGGAUACAAUACCAGCUUUGCAUAUGCACUGAAAGAAAGAGGGAGAGAAAAUAACCCUGAAGCAUCCUGCCCACUGCAUUAGCUUUUAAAAUAAAACCCAUUUAUAUAUAAAUGUUGGCUUUUUU
This 1889-nucleotide long non-coding RNA is filed under the name Anas platyrhynchos platyrhynchos (common mallard). RNAcentral's name for it is "lncRNA (ENSAPLG00000026813.1)". Lineage: Eukaryota; Metazoa; Chordata; Aves; Anseriformes; Anatidae. The record is from RNAcentral.